RNAcentral lists this small nucleolar RNA (138 nucleotides) under Ornithorhynchus anatinus (platypus). The record is from RNAcentral. Lineage: Eukaryota; Metazoa; Chordata; Mammalia; Monotremata; Ornithorhynchidae.
CCCCUCUCAGGGUCGCACCUGGAGAGUUUCCAGUACUUUACCAGUCACGACUACUAGAGGGAGAGUCAAGCAGAAGCAUGCCCAUUCCAUUCCUAGCUUGGGCAAUGGCUAGUGAGUGGAAGGCAAACUGCUGCAAGU